UACGUAGGGAGCAAGCGUUGUCCGGAAUUACUGGGUGUAAAGGGUGCGUAGGCGGGUUUGCAAGUCAGGCGUGAAAACUAUAGGCUUAACCUGUAGACUGCGUUUGAAACUGUGAAUCUUGAGUGAAGUAGAGGUAAGUGGAAUUCCCGGUGUAGCGGUGAAAUGCGUAGAGAUCGGGAGGAACACCAGUGGCGAAGGCGACUUACUGGGCUUUAACUGACGCUGAGGCACGAAAGCAUGGGUAGCAAACAGG
RNAcentral lists this ribosomal RNA (253 nucleotides) under uncultured bacterium. RNAcentral describes it as "partial 16S ribosomal RNA". It matches the Rfam family "Bacterial small subunit ribosomal RNA", at positions 524 to 776 of the family's 1533-position model. The record is from RNAcentral.